This 300-nucleotide unclassified non-coding RNA is filed under the name uncultured fungus. Its description in RNAcentral is "sequence contains ITS2". Lineage: Eukaryota; Fungi. The record is from RNAcentral.
AACGCACCUUGCACCCUUUGGUAUUCCGAAGGGUACGCCCGUUUGAGUGUCAUUGUAAUCUCACUUCUACAACUUUAUUGUUGUUUGAAUGUGGACUUGGAUGUUGCCGUUUUAUCACGGCUCGUCUUAAAUGCCUGAGUGUACCCUGUUUUGCAGCGUAUCCAGUGUAAUAAACAUUUCACUAGAGUUGGUCGAAAGACCGCGUUGCCUAUAUGGGCUCUAUGCUUCAAACCGUCUACCAUGUGGACAAUUUCUUGACAAUUUGACCUCAAAUCGGGUGGGACUACCCGCUGAACUUAA